Molecule: ribosomal RNA, 427 nt
Filed under: uncultured Sporosarcina sp.
Lineage: Bacteria; Bacillati; Bacillota; Bacilli; Caryophanales; Caryophanaceae
Description: bacterial SSU rRNA
Rfam family: Bacterial small subunit ribosomal RNA
Source: RNAcentral
UAGGGAAUCUUCCACAAUGGACGAAAGUCUGAUGGAGCAAUGCCGCGUGAGCGAAGAAGGUUUUCGGAUCGUAAAGCUCUGUUGUAAGGGAAGAACACGUACGGGAGUAACUGCCCGUGCCAUGACGGUACCUUAUUAGAAAGCCACGGCUAACUACGUGCCAGCAGCCGCGGUAAUACGUAGGUGGCAAGCGUUGUCCGGAAUUAUUGGGCGUAAAGCGCGCGCAGGCGGUUCUUUAAGUCUGAUGUGAAAGCCCACGGCUCAACCGUGGAGGGUCAUUGGAAACUGGAGAACUUGAGUACAGAAGAGGAAAGCGGAAUUCCACGUGUAGCGGUGAAAUGCGUAGAGAUGUGGAGGAACACCAGUGGCGAAGGCGGCUUUCUGGUCUGUAACUGACGCUGAGGCGCGAAAGCGUGGGGAGCAAACA